Non-coding RNA from Microcebus murinus (gray mouse lemur), 1167 nucleotides. NCBI's taxonomy places the organism in Eukaryota, Metazoa, Chordata, Mammalia, Primates, Cheirogaleidae. The record is from RefSeq and is a predicted model, not a curated record.
UGGUGCAGCGCAGCUCGCUGCUUCCCCUCCUACCUCCCAGGGUUUUCCUAGGCCCGGGAACCAGGGGGUCCUGCCCUCAACCUGCCCUACAGUCUCCAAGCCCCCCACUCUCUCUAACCCCCACCCAUGUCACGGCCACAAGCCACAAAAGACAGGAAGCAAGUCUACGUUGCUUAGUAACCAACCCGCGUGCCCCCCUCCCCACUACUUACCCCAGCCUCCUUCCUAUCCUAUGCCCUUUGCCCUGCUGCCCGCAAUUUCCUGUGAGGGGGCCCAGGUGACACGAAGUCAAAUGAGGGCCUCAACCCACUUUCCCUCAGGCCGGGACGGGGUCUUCAGCUGCUCCCAUGGUCACAUCCCCCACUCGCACCGCCCUCAGCUCUAGGCCGGAAGUGGAUCGUGGGCAUGAGGCAGACAAGCUGCAUGGGCUCUGCCUCCACCAAGCAGGAGUUCUUCCGGUCCCAGCCAGCACCCUCCAGCACCCUCUUUUGCUCAGAGCCCCAAGAACAUCUGGCUCCCACCUUGGGUGGAUACACUAGGUUGCUGUCAUCCACAGUGGAAACGAUAAACUCCCAGGAGAGGCUGUCCACUGAAAUCUGGGGGUUGAAGGUUUGGAGCAGCGGGAAAACUGUGGUUCUGUCAUCAGUUGGUAAAGACGCGUCAUGUUGGCCUUUAGGCCCUAGGGACAAUGAAGUACACAGUUGCCAUGCAGCAUACUCAGCCCUGCCUCUAGCGCCACCAUGUACAGAUGUGGAGACUGUUCACUGCACAAAGGCACUGGCAGAAGGGAGAUUGGAGUCUUGCUAUGUUGCCCAGGUUAGUCUCAAACUCCUGGCCUCACGUGAUCCUCCUCCUGCCUCAGCUUCACAGAAUGCUGAGAUCACAGGUAUGAGUCACUCUGCUCAGCCACUGCCUCCCACUUUUAUCAUGCAGUCCUAAAUAGCACCUGCCUCCAAACUUACACACCUCCUCCCAUCACAGGACGCUCAAGCAACAAAGAACCAUCUAGCUGGCAGGGCACAUACCUCUCUUAGACGUGAAAAAAAAAAGUUCUUUAAAAAAAUGCAGAAAAAAAAUUCCAUUACACUGGUAACACAUUUCUGAACUAUUUGACAUUUUAAAAAGGGGCAUAAAAAUAAAAGAAAAUAAAAAUCAACUUUAAACAUA